CGGCCGGCGCACGGGUGAGUAACGCGUAUGAACCUUACCUAUCGGAGGGGGACGACCCGGCGAAAGUCGGACUAAUACCGCAUGAAGCAGGGGCCCCGCAUGGGGAUAUUUGCUAAAGAUUCAUCGCUGGUAGAUAGGCAUGCGUUCCAUUAGGCAGUUGGCGGGGUAACGGCCCACCAAACCGACGAUGGAUAGGGGUUCUGAGAGGAAGGUCCCCCACAUUGGUACUGAGACACGGACCAA
Molecule: ribosomal RNA, 243 nt
Filed under: uncultured bacterium
Lineage: Bacteria
Description: partial 16S ribosomal RNA
Rfam family: Bacterial small subunit ribosomal RNA
Source: RNAcentral